AUCCAGCUGAUGAGCCCCAAACAUGACGAAACGCGCGUCCUGGAU
Schistosoma curassoni is the source of this 45-nucleotide non-coding RNA. The record is from Rfam. Lineage: Eukaryota; Metazoa; Platyhelminthes; Trematoda; Strigeidida; Schistosomatidae.